UGAGGAAUAUUGGUCAAUGGGCGAGAGCCUGAACCAGCCAAGUAGCGUGCAGGAUGACGGCCCUAUGGGUUGUAAACUGCUUUUAUAUGGGAAUAAAGUGAGGGACGUGUCCCUUAUUGCAUGUACCAUACGAAUAAGGACCGGCUAAUUCCGUGCCAGCAGCCGCGGUAAUACGGAAGGUCCAGGCGUUAUCCGGAUUUAUUGGGUUUAAAGGGAGCGUAGGCUGUUUGUUAAGCGUGUUGUGAAAUGUAGGAGCUCAACUUUUAGAUUGCAGCGCGAACUGGCAGACUUGAGUGCGCACAACAUAGGCGGAAUUCAUGGUGUAGCGGUGAAAUGCUUAGAUAUCAUGACGAACUCCGAUUGCGAAGGCAGCUUACGGGAGCGCAACUGACGCUAAAGCUCGAAGGUGCGGGUAUCGAACAGG
This 424-nucleotide ribosomal RNA is filed under the name Verrucomicrobiota bacterium. RNAcentral describes it as "Verrucomicrobia bacterium partial 16S ribosomal RNA". It matches the Rfam family "Bacterial small subunit ribosomal RNA", at positions 355 to 776 of the family's 1533-position model. Lineage: Bacteria; Pseudomonadati; Verrucomicrobiota. The record is from RNAcentral.